This 253-nucleotide ribosomal RNA is filed under the name uncultured bacterium. Its description in RNAcentral is "partial 16S ribosomal RNA". It matches the Rfam family "Bacterial small subunit ribosomal RNA", at positions 524 to 776 of the family's 1533-position model. The record is from RNAcentral.
UACGAAGGGGGCUAGCGUUGCUCGGAAUUACUGGGCGUAAAGGGCGCGUAGGCGGGUCGUUUAGUUAGAGGUGAAAGCCCAGGGCUCAACCCUGGAAUUGCCUUUAAUACUGGCGGCCUUGAGUAUGGCAGAGGUGUGUGGAACUCCGAGUGUAGAGGUGAAAUUCGUAGAUAUUCGGAAGGACACCAGUGGCGAAGGCGACACACUGGGCCAUUACUGACGCUGAGGCGCGAAAGCGUGGGGAGCAAACAGG